This 37-nucleotide small RNA is filed under the name Plasmodium falciparum 3D7. RNAcentral describes it as "Pfa-raR6329b". The record is from RNAcentral. Lineage: Eukaryota; Apicomplexa; Aconoidasida; Haemosporida; Plasmodiidae.
CUCCCGACUGAUCUCUACAAUCCGUACAGUUACUGGG